This 577-nucleotide ribosomal RNA is filed under the name Aspergillus ochraceopetaliformis. RNAcentral's name for it is "eukaryotic LSU rRNA". The stretch from base 191 to 344 matches the Rfam family "5.8S ribosomal RNA". Lineage: Eukaryota; Fungi; Ascomycota; Eurotiomycetes; Eurotiales; Aspergillaceae. The record is from RNAcentral.
GGCUCUGGGUUGAGUUCUUCGGGGCCACCUCCCACCCUUGUAUACUGUACCAAGUUGCUUCGGCGGGCCCGCCGUUCGCGCGGCCGCCGGGGGGGAACCCCUCCCCCCGGGCGAGCGCCCGCCGGAGACCCCAACGUGAACACUGUCUGAAGUUUUGUCGUCUGAGUUCGAUUGUAUCGCAAUCAGUUAAAACUUUCAACAAUGGAUCUCUUGGUUCCGGCAUCGAUGAAGAACGCAGCGAAAUGCGAUAAUUAAUGUGAAUUGCAGAAUUCAGUGAAUCAUCGAGUCUUUGAACGCACAUUGCACCCCCUGGUAUUCCGGGGGGUAUGCCUGUCCGAGCGUCAUUGCUGCCCUCAAGCCCGGCUUGUGUGUUGGGUCCUCGUCCCCCCCGGGGGACGGGCCCGAAAGGCAGCGGCGGCACCGCGUCCGGUCCUCGAGCGUAUGGGGCUUUGUCACACCGCUCUCGUAGGCCCGGCCGGCGCUGGCCGACGCUGAAAAGCAACCAUUAUUUCUCCAGGUUGACCUCGGAUCAGGUAGGGAUACCCGCUGAACUUAAGCAUAUCAAUAAGCGGAGGAA